RNAcentral lists this ribosomal RNA (467 nucleotides) under uncultured bacterium. RNAcentral describes it as "partial 16S ribosomal RNA". It matches the Rfam family "Bacterial small subunit ribosomal RNA", at positions 28 to 506 of the family's 1533-position model. The record is from RNAcentral.
GACGAACGCUGGCGGCGUGCUUAACACAUGCAAGUCGAACGGAAAGGCCCUGCUUUUGUGGGGUGCUCGAGUGGCGAACGGGUGAGUAACACGUGAGUAACCUGCCCUUGACUUUGGGAUAACUUCAGGAAACUGGGGCUCAUACCGGAUAGGAGCUCCUGCUGCAUGGUGGGGGUUGGAAAGUUUCGGCGGUUGGGGAUGGACUCGCGGCUUAUCAGCUUGUUGGUGGGGUAGUGGCUUACCAAGGCUUUGACGGGUAGCCGGCCUGGGAGGGUGACCGGCCACAUGGGGACUGGGGUACGGCCCAGACGCCUACGGGAGGCAGCAGUGGGGAAUAUUGCACAAUGGGCGGAAGCCGGAUGCAGCAACGCCGCGUGCGGGAGGACGGCCUUCGGGUUGGAAACCGCUUUCGCGUGUGACGAAGCGUGAGUGACGGUAAUGGGGAAAGAAGCACCGGCUAACUACGG